Molecule: unclassified non-coding RNA, 372 nt
Filed under: uncultured bacterium
Lineage: Bacteria
Description: contains 16S-23S intergenic spacer region
Source: RNAcentral
UCCGGUUUGUCACCGGCAGUCUCCUUAGAGUGCCCUUGCGUAGCAACUAAGGACAAGGGUUGCGCUCGUUGCGGGACUUAACCCAACAUCUUACGACACGAGCUGACGACAGCCAUGCAGCACCUGUCUCCAUGUCCCCGAAGGGAAAACCACAUCUCUGUGGCGAUCAUGGGAUGUCAAACCUGGGUAAGGUUCUUCGCUUACCAUCGAAUUAAACAACACGCUCCACCGCUUGUGCGGGUCCCCGUCAAUUCCUUUAUGUUUUAAGCUUGCGCUCGUACUCCACAGGCGGGAUGCUUAACGCGUUAGCUUCGCUACAAGAGGGGUCGAUACCUCUUACAGCUAGCAUCCAUAGUUUACGGCGUGGACUAC